This is a long non-coding RNA of Sphaeramia orbicularis (orbiculate cardinalfish), 1878 nucleotides long. RefSeq lists it as uncharacterized. The transcript has 3 exons. NCBI's taxonomy places the organism in Eukaryota, Metazoa, Chordata, Actinopteri, Kurtiformes, Apogonidae. The record is from RefSeq and is a predicted model, not a curated record.
UGCUGUACUGUAGUAAUGGUACCUUUUUUUGGUGGAAAAAAAUCCAUUUGCUCUUUGGUUCUGAGUGACUGAUAGCUUAAAAUUGUCUGUCUGUCAAACUCCACUGCCAACAUAACAUCACAUCACCUCACCCAUGUUUGGCACUCUUUCAGGUUUAUAAAAAUAAAGACACACUAUGGGCCAACACAAAUGACCAAGAAAUGUAAAGUGCAUCACUAUUAGCUGUCUAUCCUCUAACAAAUCAUCCACCGUUGCUGCUGCUGCUGGACUUCAAUGUGUAAAUGGUUCACCACAUAUGGCAGCUGCAAGCUUUUGGCCAACUUGUUGAAUAUGAUGGAUAGUGAAAAGGCCUUCAGGCUGCAUGCUCAUGACUUGGCCCGCCCUAUCCCAUACUUUAUUCCCUUCUUUUCCUCUUUGUUUCUUCCUCUCUGGCUUCCUCGCUUAUUGAUUAUCAGAAUUUCCUCACAAUUCUCGGAUAUAUUAGCUCCUCUUCUCAGCGUGUCUUUGCUGCUCUGACUUUUGGAGGUUCUCCAACACUCUCCAAACAGGUCUGAUCCUUAACAAAGGUGAGGGUCUGGAGCUCGUUGUGUUCCAGCACAGCAGAGGGGAACGGAGAGAGGUCUGUGUUCCUGGCACACGAUUCCUUCAGCACGCUGUCACGUCUCUUCAACUCUCCCCUUCUCUGAUGUUACCUGACAGGAGGUGUGUGAUGGCAGUGCCUUCAGGCUCCUCCAGGCGUAAGAAUCAGUGAGCAGGUGGAGCGCACCGGCAGCGCUGUCUUCUGACGAGUCCCCGCCGUCUCCUGUUUUGUCAGGACCCCUGGAGCGAAGACCGGGAAGCUGUAGCCGUAUCGAUUCUGCCUCUCCAUCUCCUGCGUUGCCCGGCAUCGUUAUAGAGCAGAUACCGAGGGUUUUAGCUGGAAAUCUUGUGCAGCGCAGAGCAGCGAUUUCUCCAACCCAAGCUGGAUCAAGCUGAGCACCCUGGGGGUAGGCAGCAGUGGUUUUUAAUUGUUUGUAGUGUUAGUUGGCCACGCUGGAGGCGAGCUCUCCAGGGACAGGCCUCCAGCCUGGGUCCUGACCUCAGUGUGUGCACACAAACACCAGUGACAAAGUGAACACGCAGCCUCACACAGGUACACUGAAGCAACAGUGCCUGGGUGCACUCAAAUGCAGCUACACGCACAUACUGUAUGUACAAGGGAUCUAUGAGAGGAGAAGCAUAUAUGAUAUGUCCAUAUGCAGAAAAGACCUCAAUACAGCGCAGAAAUCAAACCUCACAUAAACUUUUUUUUUUCUCUUACUUUUUUUCCCAAGUGCCAAACCUUCUUGGGUUUACAGUAAAGUUGUAACAUUCACCUAAUAUUGCAAUUUUUUUUCCUUGCAACAACUUAAAACAUUUUGCCUUGUCUUUAAUUUAUGUUGUUUUUUUUUUUCAUUGAUUUAUCCAGGAAGGUCCCAUUUAGAUGCAAGUCAAAAUGGCAGCAACUUACACAUUCACAUACAAAAUAAUUUUACAUAUAAAACACACCAAGAAUGUAAAAGGAACAGAAGCCAAAGAAUAGUAUAAGAAAAAUAAAAUUAAGGCCAAGAAGGUAAGAAAGAGGAAAGUAGACUGUACCAGUGAUAUCCAUCGAUUAUAUAAAGCAGCAACAAGUUUCUUCCAAAACAGUUUGUAAAAUACAAUUAAAGGUAUUUUGAGAAAUGUGACGUUGUGUAAUUUGUUUUAUGCAGUUUUACCAAGCUUUGAGUUCAUCAUGGUAGUAUUUAGGAGAAAUAAUGCAGUUGAUCUUGUGCCGUUGUUAGUGAAAUAGAAUAAUAGACAGCAGGUGCAAGUCAGUAGUCGGUAGUUUACCUGACAAUGCCUUCAAAGAAAUAUAUU